This is a long non-coding RNA of Lutzomyia longipalpis, 351 nucleotides long. RefSeq lists it as uncharacterized. Lineage: Eukaryota; Metazoa; Arthropoda; Insecta; Diptera; Psychodidae. The record is from RefSeq and is a predicted model, not a curated record. The transcript has 3 exons.
UCAGCAAGCUUCCGGAAGACGCCCACCCUCAUCAGCCCUCAACAGCAUCAAACCGGUCAAUCUCGCCGGAAGGGCUAUAGAUUAAUCGCUACCCUACUUGCAGGUACGCUAUCCCUGAGGGUCUCGUGGCAGGAGGCAUUCUAGGUCGCUAUCAAAACCUAACUAAUCUUUUGCUGUAUUCUCUGAAGGUACGCAUUAUUGAGGAGCUUGUGGCAAGAAGUGUCCGAGGUAUUGCCAAUAUUACCUAUUCUAACCUAUCGCUGUAUUCUCCAAAGGUACGCUAUCCCUGAGGGUCUCGUGGCAGGAGGCAUUCUAGGUCGCUAUCAAAACCUAACUAAUCUUUUGCUGUAU